UAUAGUUUAUUUGAUAAUGGAAGGUUAUAUGGAUAGCCGUGGUAAUUCUAGAGCUAAUACAUGCUGUUAAACCUGACUCACGAAAGGUUGUAUUUAUUAGAUAUCAAGCCAAUAUUCCUCACGGUUUAUUGUGGUGAAUCAUAGUAACUGAUCGAAUUGCAGGAUACCUGCGAUAGUUCAUUCAAGUUUCUGCCCUAUCAGCUCUCGAUGGUAGUGUAUUGGCCUACCAUGGCAGUAACGGGUAACGGAGAAUUAGGGUUCGAUUCCGGAGAGGGAGCCUGAGAAACGGCUACCACA
RNAcentral lists this ribosomal RNA (297 nucleotides) under uncultured eukaryote. RNAcentral's name for it is "partial 18S rRNA". It matches the Rfam family "Eukaryotic small subunit ribosomal RNA", at positions 111 to 414 of the family's 1831-position model. The record is from RNAcentral.